AGUGAACGCUGGCGGUAGGCCUAACACAUGCAAGUCGAACGGCAGCACAGUAAGAGCUUGCUCUUACGGGUGGCGAGUGGCGGACGGGUGAGGAAUACAUCGGAAUCUACUUUUUCGUGGGGGAUAACGUAGGGAAACUUACGCUAAUACCGCAUACGACCUACGGGUGAGAGCAGGAGAUCUUCGGACCUUGCGCGAUUGAAUGAGCCGAUGUCGGAUUGGCUAGUUGGCGGGGUAAAGGCCCACCAAGGCGACGAUCCGUAGCUGGUCUGAGAGGAUGAUCAGCCACACUGGAACUGAGACACGGUCCAGACUCCUACGGGAGGCAGCAGUGGGGAAUAUUGGACAAUGGGCGCAAGCCUGAUCCAGCCAUACCGCGUGGGUGAAGAAGGCCUUCGGGUUGUAAAGCCCUUUUGUUGGGAAAGAAAAGCAGCAGGUUAAUACCCCGCUGUUCUGACGGUACCCAAAGAAUAAGCACCGGCUAACUUCGUG
RNAcentral lists this ribosomal RNA (492 nucleotides) under uncultured bacterium. Its description in RNAcentral is "partial 16S ribosomal RNA". It matches the Rfam family "Bacterial small subunit ribosomal RNA", at positions 29 to 507 of the family's 1533-position model. The record is from RNAcentral.